CGAAAUUCCUUGUCGGGUGAGUUCCGACCUGCACGAAUGGCAUAACGACUUGACGACUGUCUUAACAAGGGACUCGGUGAAAUUGCAAGAGGAGUGAAGAUGCUCUUUUCCCGUAGCUGGACGAAAAGACCCCGUGAAGCUUUACUACAACUUGAUAUUGGAUUAGGGCUAGACAUGUUCAGCAUAGGUGGGAGCUUCGGCGCCAAUGAGAUACCACCCUUGCCUAAUCUUAAUUCUAAUCUUAUUCCGUGAAUCCGGAGUAGGAGACAGUAUCUGGUGGGUAGUUUAACUGGGGCGGUUGCCUCCCAAAAUGUAACGGAGGCGUUCACCAAGGUCAGCUAAGUUCCGAUGGAAACGGAACUGAUAGUGUAAAGGCAAAAGCUGGCUUUACUGCGAUUCCUACAAGAAGAGCAGUUGCGAAAGCAGGACUUAGUGAUCCGACCGUACGAAAUAGGACGGCGGAAGCUCAACGGAUAAAAGCUACUCCGGGGAUAACAGGCUAGUCUGGUCCAAGCGUCCACAGCGACGACCAGGUUCGGCACCUCGAUGUCGGCUCAUCGCAUCCUGGAGCUGUACAAGGUUCCAAGGGUUUGGCUGUUCGCCAAUUAAAGCGGUACGUGAGCUGGGUUCAGAACGUAAUUUACAUUGCGUUUUAUCACAGAAAUGUGAUAUAAUAGUACUGACUCAUAACGGUGAAACCCUACUAAACUUUACCGAACGUUUAGAGGGCAAUACCGUGGGAAGGUCAGUUUAUGUCAAUAAUUUUAGCCACAACAAAAUCAUAUAUUGCUGGUUUUUUAGAUGGUGAUGGCUGUAUAAUGUUUCAGUUGAUAUAUAGAAAAGAUUAUAAAUACGGCUAUCAAAUAAGAGCAAGUAUUGUCUUUUAUCAAAAGACAAGCCCGACUAGUUUAAAACAUUUGCAAUGGUUGCAGAAUGUAUUUUCUGUCGGUUAUAUUCGCCAUCGUAAUGAUGAUAUGACUGAAUAUACAAUUGUAGGCAUAGAACCAGUUAUCAGGAUUUUAAAAUUAUUGAAGCCUUAUGUAAAAUUAAAAGAGCAGCAUAUAAUUUUAGCUUUAAAAAUUCAUUCUUUAUUAAAAUUAAAGAAAAAAAAUAUAGCUAAAUUUAUUGAAGCGGCUGAAUUAACUGAUAAAUUUGCUAGCUUGAAUUAUUCUAAGAAAAGAACAAAUACUUCAGCAAAUUUAAAAAAUUAUUUAAGGCAACAUAAACUGUACCCCCGUAACGACUGAUUUCAAUUAACUUUAGAGAGUUAAAAUGAAUGAGAUAGGCAUUACUGAUUUUGGCAGCGAGUUUGCUUAUCAAACGUCAGCCCCUCGCCAAGUUGUAUGGCAGGGUGAAGGUAUAGUCUGUGCCAUUAGUAAUAAUGGAAAAAACAUGCGUGAGACAGUUCGGUCUCCUAUCUACUACGGGCGUCGAAACUUGAGGGGUCCCUUUUCUAGUACGAGAGGACCGAAAAGGACGAACCUCUGGUGUGCCAGUUGUCCUGCCAAGGGCACCGCUGGGUAGCCAAGUUCGGUUUAGAUAAACGCUGAAAGCAUCUAAGCGUGAAGCUGUCCCCAAGAUUAGGUUUCUUAGGAUCCUGGGAGAUUACCAGGUUGAUAGGCGCUAGGUAUAAGAUUGGCAACAAUUUUAGCCGAGGCGUACUAAUAUUCCAUUUGUUUAACCAC
This is a non-coding RNA of Candidatus Buchananbacteria bacterium RBG_13_36_9, 1685 nucleotides long. Lineage: Bacteria; Candidatus Buchananiibacteriota. The record is from Rfam.